This 449-nucleotide ribosomal RNA is filed under the name uncultured organism. RNAcentral's name for it is "partial 16S ribosomal RNA". It matches the Rfam family "Bacterial small subunit ribosomal RNA", at positions 335 to 800 of the family's 1533-position model. The record is from RNAcentral.
ACUCCUACGGGAGGCAGCAGUGGGGAAUAUUGGACAAUGGGCGCAAGCCUGAUCCAGCCAUGCCGCGUGAGUGAUGAAGGCCCUAGGGUUGUAAAGCUCUUUCACCGGUGAAGAUAAUGAAGGUAACCGGAGAAGAAGCCCCGGCUAACUUCGUGCCAGCAGCCGCGGUAAUACGAAGGGGGCUAGCGUUGUUCGGAUUUACUGGGCGUAAAGCGCACGUAGGCGGACUAUUAAGUCAGGGGUGAAAUCCCGGGGCUCAACCCCGGAACUGCCUUUGAUACUGGUAGUCUUGAGUUCGUGAGAGGUGAGUGGAAUUCCGAGUGUAGAGGUGAAAUUCGUAGAUAUUCGGAGGAACACCAGUGGCGAAGGCGGCUCACUGGCUCGAUACUGACGCUGAGGUGCGAAAGCGUGGGGAGCAAACAGGAUUAGAAACCCUUGUAGUCCCAUGA